CCUACGGGAGGCAGCAGUGGGGAAUAUUGCACAAUGGGCGAAAGCCUGAUGCAGCGACGCCGCGUGGGGGAUGACGGCCUUCGGGUUGUAAACCUCUUUCAGCUAUGUGAAGAAGCGAUGAGUGACGGUACUUGCUGAAGAAGCGCCGGCUAACUACGUGCCAGCAGCCGCGGUAAUACGUAGGGUGCGAGCGUUGUCCGGAAUUAUUGGGCGUAAAGAGCUCGUAGGUGGCUUGUCGCGUCUGCCGUGUAAUCUUGAGGCUUAACCUUGGGCGUGCGGUCGGUACGGGCUGACUUGAGUGUGGUAGGGGAGACUGGAACUCCUGGUGUAGCGGUGAAAUGCGCAUAUAUCAGGCGGAACACCCCUGGCGAAGGCAGGUCUCUGGGCCCUUACUGACACUGNGGAGCGAAAGCGUGGGUAGCGAACAGGAUUAGAUACCCUGGUAGUCCAUGCCGUAAACGUUGGGCACUAGGUGUGGGGGACAUUCCACGUUUUCCGCGCCGUAUCUAACGCNUUAAGUGCCCCGCCUGGGGAGUACGGCCGCAAGGCUAAAACUCAAAGGAAUUGACGGG
Molecule: ribosomal RNA, 572 nt
Filed under: uncultured bacterium
Lineage: Bacteria
Description: bacterial SSU rRNA
Rfam family: Bacterial small subunit ribosomal RNA
Source: RNAcentral